This 514-nucleotide ribosomal RNA is filed under the name bacterium enrichment culture clone ALO1_GLFRUDD03G3YA6. RNAcentral describes it as "bacterial SSU rRNA". It matches the Rfam family "Bacterial small subunit ribosomal RNA", at positions 9 to 517 of the family's 1533-position model. The record is from RNAcentral.
GAGUUUGAUCAUGGCUCAGAUUGAACGCUGGCGGCAGGCCUAACACAUGCAGGUCGAGCGGAUGACGGGAGCUUGCUCCUUGAUUCAGCGGCGGACGGGUGAGUAAUGCCUAGGAAUCUGCCUGGUAGUGGGGGACAACGUUUCGAAAGGAACGCUAAUACCGCAUACGUCCUACGGGAGAAAGCAGGGGACCUUCGGGCCUUGCGCUAUCAGAUGAGCCUAGGUCGGAUUAGCUAGUUGGUGGGGUAAUGGCUCACCAAGGCGACGAUCCGUAACUGGUCUGAGAGGAUGAUCAGUCACACUGGAACUGAGACACGGUCCAGACUCCUACGGGAGGCAGCAGUGGGGGAAUAUUGGACAAUGGGCGAAAGCCUGAUCCAGCCAUGCCGCGUGUGUGAAGAAGGUCUUCGGAUUGUAAAGCACUUUAAGUUGGGAGGAAGGGCAGUAAGUUAAUACCUUGCUGUUUUGACGUUACCGACAGAAUAAGCACCGGCUAACUCUGUGCCAGCCGCCG